AUCGGCGAAGAGCGCUAGAUGGGUCUCC
RNAcentral lists this small RNA (28 nucleotides) under Bombyx mori (domestic silkworm). RNAcentral describes it as "ovarian small RNA-12501". The record is from RNAcentral. Lineage: Eukaryota; Metazoa; Arthropoda; Insecta; Lepidoptera; Bombycidae.